UACGUAGGGUGCAAGCGUUGUCCGGAAUUAUUGGGCGCAAAGAGCUCGUAGGCGGUUCGUCGCGUCGGCUGUGAAAUCCCGAGGCUCAACCUCGGGUCUGCAGUCGAUACGGGCGGACUGGAGUACUGCAGGGGAGACUGGAAUUCCUGGUGUAGCGGUGAAAUGCGCAGAUAUCAGGAGGAACACCGGUGGCGAAGGCGGGUCUCUGGGCAGUUACUGACGCUGAGGCGCGAAAGCGUGGGGAGCAAACAGG
Molecule: ribosomal RNA, 253 nt
Filed under: uncultured bacterium
Lineage: Bacteria
Description: partial 16S ribosomal RNA
Rfam family: Bacterial small subunit ribosomal RNA
Source: RNAcentral